RNAcentral lists this long non-coding RNA (737 nucleotides) under Zonotrichia albicollis (white-throated sparrow). Its description in RNAcentral is "lncRNA (ENSZALG00000008274.1)". The record is from RNAcentral. Lineage: Eukaryota; Metazoa; Chordata; Aves; Passeriformes; Passerellidae.
AUGAAUAUGUCCACAGUGGACAUGAGUAAAUGGAAGAUUGGAGUGUUUCUCAUAGUGAAGAAUGGAUCAAUUCCUGGAUCAAGUUCUGUCUCAGAAUUUUCAGCUCUAAAGGUCUCUUGGAACAGAGAGGAGCUUAACACACACACAUCUGCUCUGUGCAACAGCAGACACAUCUCUUCAUGCUGUAGAGACAACAUGAGAACUGGAGGCUUUCAUCUUGGAUGGACUUCAACAGGGUGAAAGGAGUAAAUGCUGGCGCCACAACUCAUCUGAGAACACCUCUCUUGUCACAUGAUCACACUUGUCAGAAACCAGUUUGGAAAAGCGAGUGCUCCUGUUUCUGUACCCUCUGUCCUUGAGCCCGGUCCGUCUUUAUUUCGGCACGGCAGCCCUGUUGUGUCACAGCCCCGCUCACGAUGCUUCAUUGGCUGAGAAUGUGGAACGUGUGGUUUUGGCUGGGAGCGCUCCCCGGCUCGCCGAGGCUGUUGCAUAAAACGCCGGGGGUGUUUUUCUGCUGUGUCAUCCACUGACCUCAGAGACAGGAGAACUGAACCAGCUCUCCCCUACGAGUGGUAAUGCUUGUGUUAUGGUUUUGCUUGGCUGGAAAACUCUUUGGGCACAUUGCAAUUUUGUCCCAGCAGAACAAACCAUGAAACGUAACAAGAGACUUGGAUAACCUCUAGCCUCUGUGUGCGCAUGCUUUUUCCCUAAAGAAAUAAAUGGAAUGGUGCUUUACA